UACAUCGGUGACAGUGGUGCAUGGUUGUCGUCAGCUCGUGUCGUGAGAUGUUGGGUUAAGUCCCGCAACGAGCGCAACCCCUAUUGUUAGUUGCCAUCAUUCAGUUGGGCACUCUAGCGAGACUGCCGGUAAUAAACCGGAGGAAGGUGGGGAUGACGUCAAAUCAUCAUGCCCCUUAUGACCUGGGCUACACACGUGCUACAAUGGUUGGUACAACGAGUUGCGAGUCGGUGACGGCGAGCUAAUCUCUUAAAGCCAAUCUCAGUUCGGAUUGUAGGCUGCAACUCGCCUACAUGAAGUCGGAAUCGCUAGUAAUCGCGGAUCAGCACGCCGCGGUGAAUACGUUCCCGGGCCUU
This 356-nucleotide ribosomal RNA is filed under the name uncultured Streptococcus sp. RNAcentral's name for it is "bacterial SSU rRNA". It matches the Rfam family "Bacterial small subunit ribosomal RNA", at positions 1025 to 1382 of the family's 1533-position model. The record is from RNAcentral. Lineage: Bacteria; Bacillati; Bacillota; Bacilli; Lactobacillales; Streptococcaceae.